GCUCAGGAUGAACGCUGGCGGCGUGCUUAACACAUGCAAGUCGAGCGAAGCACUUAAGUUUGAUUCUUCGGAUGAAGACUUUUGUGACUGAGCGGCGGACGGGUGAGUAACGCGUGGGUAACCUGCCUCAUACAGGGGGAUAACAGUUAGAAAUGACUGCUAAUACCGCAUAAGACCACAGGGUCGCAUGACCCGGUGGUAAAAACUCCGGUGGUAUGAGAUGGACCCGCGUCUGAUUAGCUAGUUGGUGGGGUAACGGCUCACCAAGGCGACGAUCAGUAGCCGACCUGAGAGGGUGACCGGCCACAUUGGGACUGAGACACGGCCCAAACUCCUACGGGAGGCAGCAGUA
Molecule: ribosomal RNA, 352 nt
Filed under: uncultured bacterium
Lineage: Bacteria
Description: bacterial SSU rRNA
Rfam family: Bacterial small subunit ribosomal RNA
Source: RNAcentral